GCUAGGGAUAGGUGCUUUGCUAUAAAUAACAAGAAAUAUUUGUGGACAGCACUAGUAAGAGCAACAUUGAAGACAGAACUUUGCUCCCUAAUUUCAGUUACUUCUCCUUUUGGGGGUGUCACAUCAUCUGGUCCCAUGAGGAACCAUGAGAAAUACAUCAGAUUAAAGGUAGCACAGAGUAACAUAUACUGACUUACAACACUGAAAUAGAAAAUGAAGAGUUGCUAAUGAACAAAGGCACCCUAUUGUGUUGGAACAUGUAAGUAAAAGAGACACAAGCAUGAAAUGAUGAAUAAAGCCUAGCUUUUUCUAAGACCCAGGGCAGGGUGACACAAAACCAACAUGACCAAGAAACUGCAAAUCCAGCAGGAAAAAUACAGAAGUUGAGUAACUGAAACUCAUGCAUGUGUAAAGUCUGGAUUACCAAAAAUCGAAAGGGUUGAUGUGCUAAAAGCCAUUUGGAUAAAGAUUAAAUAAUCUGCAAUAUAGAAAUAUUGAAGUGAGCAUGGGCCCAAACUGGAGAAACACCGGACCAAAAACUGAAGAAUGGGACUGAAGGACCAGACCUACGGGUCAUGGAAGAUGGAAGAACUUUCUGGUGCCCCAGAAUGUGGUAACUUGGGCCCAUUUA
This is a long non-coding RNA of Mauremys mutica (yellowpond turtle), 631 nucleotides long. RefSeq lists it as uncharacterized. The record is from RefSeq and is a predicted model, not a curated record. The transcript has 4 exons. NCBI's taxonomy places the organism in Eukaryota, Metazoa, Chordata, Testudines, Geoemydidae.